GUUUUUAAACUGUGUAAGUGUUUUUUUACAUAACAAUCUGAUACUUUCAUAAGAAUGAUCAUUUUCGCUAUUUUGUGCAUUUUUCCUUUGAUCUUUUUUUAUAAUUAUUCAUAUCAUGUUACUCGCUUGAGAUGAAAAAUUAUCGCUAGAAACUAAGGUGGCACGUGGCGUUGCUAAUGAAAUUGAUAACGUCAUCAUAGGUAAAAUAGCGAUAAACAGAUUAUCAUUGGUCAUCUCAACUCGAUUGCUUUUCUCGCUUGAGCCGGUACGGUGAAAGCGAGAAAAGCAAUCUCGUUGAAAUGAUCAAGGAUAAUCUAUAAAUAUCUACUAUCUUGGUGUUCUUUAUAUAUAUAAAGUUAAUUAACCUUUGGUACUAAUAAAAAUAUAUUCAAAAUAGAAUACAUGUAGUAUGCAAAUGCAUCUACAUAUUUAUUUAUCCUUGUUAAAAUAUGUAGAAACAUUUGUGUAAGAUUUUAUUUUGAAUAUAUUAUGUAUAUUAUUAAAAUUAACAUGACAUACAGUUUAAGCUCUUGACAUCCUUGCAGUGGUGGAUCCAGAAAUUUUCAUAAGUAGGGGCCAACUGACUGCCUACUUAUAUACGGAAUCACUGAAGCAUGACCGGAGUGGGCCCCCUCUUAGGCAGUUAUUUGGCCCCUACUUAUGAAAAAUUCUGGAUCCAUAAUAAGUAACCAAUUUUUUUCCAAGAAAAGGGGUGCCUGGGCCCUCUCCCUAAAUCCGCCUCUGCUUGUUCGGUUAAAAAUAUGACUGUGUUACUGUAAUUUCUCUUCUUGGUUUCAGGCUUCUCAUUUUAAUCAAGAAACUGGUAACAUUUUAACAUGUCUACAUACAAUCAUUUUUUUUAUAUAAAGAGGUCUUUAUGAAUUAUGUUGUAAUGUUGUGUUUCUUUUGUUGAUGGCUCAAUAGAAAACUUUUGAGUUCGAUGCAUUUCCGUCAAAAACUUUCGUUUUAGUGAACAUCAUGUGUGUGUAUAGGGGCGUCGUCACUUCCAUUGCAAUGUUGAGUGAAUGGUUGGAAAACUAUGAUGCUUUAUUACAUGAAUUAUUCGGCAAAUUGAAUUCUCAUAGUUGACAAUCAUGACUACUGUCAUAAGGCAAUUGUGAUUAAGUACCUACAGAACAAGUAUUAUUUCUAGUUUAUUCUACACAAUGACGAUCACUAAGAUGCUUGAUGAACGUUAAUAGUGCCAGGAUACAGGUGAUCCCCCCUUUUUCUGGUAAAUGAAGUCAUAAAGGCGUGCAUAAUUGAAGAGUUUUUUCCGGUGAAGGAAGAACUCAAAAGUGGUCUAUAAAUUAUACCCCACAUAUAUUAUUUGCAUCUAAUAUUCAACAAAUUUAAAAAUCUGCCUGCAUCACAAAAUUGACCACCCUUUACUGGGUAGGAUUAAUUGCCCUAAAAAUAUUAACUUUUUUAACAGCAAAUCAUUAUCUGCCGCCUGUAAUCUAAAGAUACUUGAGGACAGAUCUGACUAUCAGUGGCAAACUUGGUUAUAACACCUAUAGAUUGCUAAAAAAUUAACAAUAGAGAAUAAUGGGCCAAAAUUUGGAAUAGAUUGGCAUAAAAGUAUAGAUUUACAGAAAAACAGACCCCCAUGUUUGCCUUUAUAACAAUGUAAUGCUUUCCAUCAAUAUUGUAUCUCUAUGUCUGUUAUUGAAACAAGACAAUCAAAAAUGUGUUAAUGAGUACUGUGGAUUCAAUACUAUUUGUUGGAUCCAAAUUUAAAUGGAUUUCUUGGUCACCUGGGAAUAACAUGUAUAAGAAACCACAAAUUCCAAUUUGCAACAAAUUACAAAUUUUUGAUAUGAAUAUAUGCAGACUUUGGCAAAACCAGGAAUCAAAUAUCCACAAAAAAGAGUUUUCCUUAAUCCAUAAAAAUUGGUACCCACAAAAAUAAAUGAAUUCACAGUAGCUAGUGUCAUUGAAGCAGCAUUAUUAUGGUAAAUGACUUGCGAUGUUUGACCAAUACUUUUAUGAUAUUAUUGUUGUUGUUUCCAUGGAAACUCUAGUCUUUUAUUAUUGUCUAAUUUAUGUUGGAGUGAGCUAUUUUGUUUUCAAUAAAGCAAUAUAUAACUGUUUUCAUGGUUCUACUUAUUUGUUGUGUAAUACUGGACUGAUU
This 2134-nucleotide long non-coding RNA is filed under the name Mytilus galloprovincialis (Mediterranean mussel). The record is from RNAcentral. Lineage: Eukaryota; Metazoa; Mollusca; Bivalvia; Mytilida; Mytilidae.